UUCACCAAAAACCGAGCAUGCUCCUCCCGCAGCCUCUGGAACACUGAGACAUAAUUUGUUGCUUAUAAAUAAAAUUUAAAUUGUUCCCUGAAAUUUGUCUUUUAUUCAAUAUUAGAUCAUAAUUUGCUGAUGGACAAAAUUUAGAAAUGAUUUUUAAUCACACUAUAUUUGUAGCUAGGCUUUCUGUUGCAGGGAUAAAAUGUUAUAACUUCAAUACAGGGAUCGAAACCUUUUGUAUAUUCUAAACAGUACCAUCCUUUGUACAUUUCUUUAAGACAUUUAAAAAUUAAAGCUUAAAAAAUUGAAGCUCAGUAUAAAAUUCUGAACCAAAAAACAAACAUCCCACAAUUCCCUGUAUCAUUGAGGGCUAAUCUUGCUCAACUCAUCUUAAUUCAGCAACAUCAUCAAAAUCGUCAAUAAUUAAUAGUAAGAGAAUAGAUAUUUCCCAGGCAUUGAAUUGCACAACUUUUCAAAAACAUGGUCGCAAGGAUAUGUCCAAAAACACAAUAUUGGAGAAUGGGGGAACAUUUACAUGUUGAAGUCAUUGGCAAUAUUGAUUGUAACCUAAACAAGAGGUGUUUGAUUCAAUAUACUAAAAGGGGCUUUACCUCCUUUUUCAAAGCAUCUAUAUGGCGUGGUUGUGCGUAAUGUUCCACAGACCCCCAUCAGCUUUCUGUCUCCAUACAGAGCAUGACCAUUGUCUUAAGCCCCGUUGAAACGCUCUCGACAUUUCACUGAACAUCGCUCAACAUUUGUAGAGUGCAAAUGUUGAGAGCGUUUUAACACCCUGUUCAGUGAUGUUGAGUGGUGUUCAGCAGGGGCGAAACUACCGGGGGGGUGUGGGGGGGUGUGACACCCCCCCAAUCCAAAAAACAGUCGAUUUCGCAGGGCAAUCGAAGAUUUCGCAGGGCGCCAAGAAGAGCUUUAUUGUCACGCAGAAAUGCCACCUCUGAAAUUCGUAAAGAGCCGUUUAGGAAUUUUGAAAUGGAAAUAUCGUAUUUGUUAUGAACCUCCCUUCCUGACAUUGCGUUUUAGAGAACGGAACAGGUAUGUAAGGAAAAGCUCUGUUAUUUGCAAAGCGAAAGCAUUUCUUACCGAAAGUCAUAGCCAAUGGAUGCAAUGAUUGAUGCAUAAGUUUAUAAGGGCAAGGGUGAGUCAUGCCAAUUAAUUUAAGUUGUAAAUUAUUUUCAUGACAAGCACGGCGUCACUGGGGGGGAAUUAGGGGCUGAAGUCCCUCACUUUGGUCAAGAUAGGAAUUUUUAUCAUUUUUUCUAAUACUAUUUAACAGUGCAUGAACUAAAAAACAUAAUAAAUCGUUAAGAUACAGAUUUUGUUUCAUCUAAUUGCUAACUUUUUCACGUUUUUUUUAUUAUUUCUCUUUUAUUUGCAUUAAUUCAGUAAAUCAUUUUCUGUAUCAUUGCAAUGUUUUAAUUUUGGAUGUGUAAACAUGGCCUUCUCGAUACAAGAAACUGCACAUUUCUGUUCAGGAAAAAAAAUCCCCCAAUCAAAACAACAUCUUCCUCUGUCAUUCACAACUGCAUGCAAUCUGAAACGAAAGGUUGCAGUUCCUUUCCCUCCGCAACGUCUAACACUAGAGUUUUAGCAUAACAUCCCCCUCCCUAUUUUUCCCAAUAAGCAAUAAUAUUUUCAAUAAACAAUCAGUUCUUUUAGCACAAUAGUAUUUUGCUAAAUUUUUGUCUGAAAGAUGCUUAUCAGUCCUUUUACAAGGUAUAAUUUCAAAAAAUUUCUUCACGUCGGACCCAACCAUGGUGGGUCCUCCUACCUCACUAAACUCGACUCUUAGCCCCACUGGGCUAAAUUUCAUUGCGCCGUCUACAUCAUGUAAUCCCCCCUCCCCCAAUUAGCUGUUUAUUAGCUUAAUUUUGCAAACCAACAUUAAAUGAAGUGACAAUAAAAAAAAACGAUCUACGCUCAUGUAGAGAAAUAGAAAUUUCAUAGGCAAUGAAGUUUCAAGUUUGUUUUUAUUGCUUAGAAGUUUGUCCCUGGUAAAGACCAGUGUACACUGGUAAAGCCUUUACUAGUAACCUAUAGACAAACCGUUGCUACGAGGUCUGCAGGGCAUCACUUAGUUUUGCAGGGCAGAAACGCUUUUCACCCCCCCAAAACUAUUGGCCAAGUUACGCCCCUGGUGUUCAGCGGUGUUCAGCGAUGUUGAGUGGAGUUUGAACAGAUUCAAAAAUGUUUAGCGGGUCGACUCAACAUUUCUAUUGUUAAAGGUGUUGUUGAGAGAUGUUGAGAGCGUUUUAACACCCCAUACAACAAUGUUCAGUCGGCGCAAGCGCACUAGACUUGGCUUUUGCGCGCCAAAGAAAGGCUUCAGCGUGUCAAGAUUUCAGAUCAGACCAAGAGGUUGAGAGAAGAUGAAUUUUAUAAAUCGUAAUGGCACACCAUGACAAACGCUUGGAAACAGUUGGCAGUGAAAGCAAAUCGGAUGAGAUAGCAAUUCAAAGCAUGUUGCAAGACCAAAUUCCUGACCUUAGGAAAUCAUCAGGCAGCUACUGUUAAAGUGAAAGAGUAUCUGAAGUUCAUCUUCCAAACUUGUCUUUGAUCUCUGAGAGUCCGAAGUUCACCGCUCAACAAAUGUUGCGUUGAAUUGUUGAGAGCGUUUUAACACCCCAAUUCAACAUCACUAAACAUCACUAAACAUCACUGUACAAAUGUUGAGCGAUGUUCAGUGAAAUGUUGAGAGCGUUUUAACGGGGCUUUAGAGCCAACUUUGUUUUGUCCAAUCUAGGUUCUCUAUUCUGCGCAUAACCUGGAUAAGCCUUACGAUGAAUGCUUUUGUUAAAACGUUUGAGGCCACACAGCAGAUUUGCCACUGCUUUCUUAUUUGAUACCGAUGAUGCCAUAGCAAUAGAGUUGGCAGAAAGAGUUAAUCUUUUCUGUUAAUGAGACAUGAUUUCCCCAGGUGGAUGCUUUUGUUAAAACGUUUGAGGCCACACAGCAGAUUUGCCACUGCUUUCUUAUUUGUUACCGAGGUUGCAAUAGCAAUAGAGUUGGCAGAAAGAGUUAAUCUUUUCUGUUAAUGAGACAUGAUUUCCCCAGGUGGAUGCUUUUGUUAAGACGUUUCAGGCCACACAGCAGAUUUGCCACUGCUUUCAUAAUAUUCCUUUUUGUUACCGAUGAUGCCAUAGCAAUAGAGUUGGCAGAAAGAGUUAAUCUUUUCUGUUAAUGAGACAUGAUUUCCCCAGGUGGAUGCUUUUGUUAAGACGUUUCAGGCCACUCAGCAGAUUUGCCACUGCUUUCAUAAUAUUCUUAUUUGUUACCGAUGAUGCCAUAGCAAUAGAGUUGGCGCAAACAGUUAAUCUUAUCCUUUUAAUGAGAUAUGGCUUAUGAAAUGAGCUUGUGAGUGAAUUAUCAAAAUCUGGGAAUAUUGUAAUACUGCCGUUUGUCUCGCCCUGCAAAUCUCGUGAAAAGAUUUUCUUUUAUUCCAUUCAUUCUAUUUUCUCAUGUUCGUCACAGUUGAUUAUCAGUAUUUCUUUGUAAUAUUGCACCACACUUGUAAUCGCGUCUCUGUUAACAAACGCAUUUAGGAAGAAACACUCUGGGAUAAUUAGACACAACCUGUAUUCAUGUUACCAUUCGAACACUGCCAUUAACAUUACAUUAUAUACGCUAAUUUUUUAUAAAAAACAAAGGUCGAUGUUGAGUACUCAAGUUUCUUAUUGUUUUGGAAAUUUCAAUACUCUCAUUGUAUUAUGGCAUUGUUUUUGCAAAAUUCCAAUUAGUUUAGAAGUUAUAAGGCCUUAAAGUUGCACCUUUCAGAGAAAAAAACGACAAAAACCGAAUCAGUUUGGUGACAUUCUGACGUCACAGUGUGCGGCUCUCGUUCGCCAUGAAUUUCGUAUAUCUUCCACCGAAUCGUGAAGGAGUCAUGGUCACGCGUUUUCAUAACUGCAUCUAAAUCUAGAGCAGGAGCUUUUUAGGAUCGAAAAGUAUUAAAUGUUUACAAUCAUUCUAAGUUUGCGGAUCGGAAUGUGUCCAUGCCGUGUCACGACUUUGUUUUGAACAGGCGGACAGCCUAUCAUGCGGUUCUUCCUUCUCACACUUUGUUUUGAACACCUGUGUAGGCCCACAAAGCUAAGGCUUCAUGUUCCAGCUCUUCCCUCGCGUAUAAUUAAUCGAAAUUGACACUUCAGCAGUGGCGAAGCUAGCGGUCAUGCUGAUCAUGACUAAAAUUUUCAGAGCUAAAGACAUUUAUUAUAAAGAUUUUCUUUAUUGAAAAAGUACUUUCAAAACCCCUUUCGUCCAGUUUAUUCUUAUUAUUCUACUGCCCUUCCCCACCUUGGUCCCUUGUGGUUAGUCAUGCUCAUUCUCAAGAGCAUGACCUGCCAUAGGGUUUCUUUACACAGAGAGCCCCACCGCUCCUGUGAGUCGGCUGAGUUUCAAUGACUUUUCAGUUGGUAUCCCUGUGGUAAGUCAUGCUCAUUUGGAAUAGCAUGACCUCGUCAUUAUAAUCAUAAACCUAGCACUGACUUGAUUGGCUGAAUUCUAUCUUGCGCAUGAUAUUUUGGCCCGUUUUGGACCCCAAGUCAUGCUCAAUUUUUUUCAGCAUGACCGACCUAAAUCUUCCAUACAUGUUUUAAAAUCAGGAGUUUUACGCACAGAAACAAGCGAUUGAAGAUAAAUUCAUCCAUAACAUAACGGCGAUUACAACUCGAACGAAAACUUAGACGAAGUAAAUUCUUACAGCUCACAGCAUGACAGCGUGCAAUUAAAGCGGAAGUAAACGUAAUUGUUCGUAACUAAACAAUAGCUCUAUUUUUUGUAUAUUCUAACAACAUGAAGUACCUAAGGUCUACUUCUGAGCUGAGAAACAUUGCUGCAAGGGAGUGGGGAAACUCAAUCGAAGCUAUUUCCGAGAUAUAUAUUGUUUAUUAACUGCUACACAGACCUUCCAAGUCUCGCGCAUUUCGCCUUCAACUCACGCUCACACGCAUCCAUGGAGAAUUCUCACACAUUCUACUAAACUUUUUUGGUGUCUUCAAAUUUUUCAUUUUGUUUUUCAAACUCCAGCCUAAACCUUUGUUUCUAAAAAGGUUUGGCUACGGGAUGGAAAAUGACACCCAGUAGGGAGGCGAACAUAGCAAAGCGGACCCGACCUAUAAGGUAUUUGCUCAGUGUGACAAAGGGAAGUGCCAUAGAAAUAGUAGAGCUAGAAUGCGCGCUCUAUUGUUCGCCUAUUGUUUCCUGCGUAAUACCAAUGGGCAGCAAAGAUGGUAGCAACAUGUUGGCAAAAAGCUUUUGUGGCGUACGUUGUACACAAAUAAGAAGUUAUGGAAUUACCGAUUCUACGUGGUGAUAUGAGGAGAAAAAUUUCAUGAAAACUUUCCAGCGCCAAAAUAGAAGAAGAGUGCAAGAACAUACUCCCAAGAUAUUAUUUGUCCAGCUGGGGUACAAAAGAUCUUGAUGGUGGAAAAGGCAUUUCUUGCAAGCUUCAGCAUGUGGCAGGUAUCAAGAAUUACAAAGAUAUUUUCACUGGGGUUUGAUGGAUAUGGAAAUAAUGUGCAAAGGUUUUUUAUAUCACAUCCAAGUUUCUCAGCCAUGCUAACAUUCUUAAGAGCACAAUCAAAGAUGACUGCAUGAACUUUAGCUUCCCUUCUAGCAAGGAGGUUAAUUGCUUCACUUAUGAGCUGUUUCAAUAUUUUUGCAUUUAGGGUUAUUUGUUAAAAAGUACCCAAUAGGGACAUAUCAUGGUAUUUCUUCAGGUCAGUAGUUUUUCGCAACCACCCCCCCUCCCCACCCCUGCUUAUUAUAAUCCAGUAUAAAAAAAACAGAAUAGGAAUGGAAAUGUUACCCCAUCUAUGGAUUUCCUCAUGAACUCAUUAAAUAAAGAGAUAUAUGGUUCCACAUAUUUAAGUAUGUAUUUACUGAAAUACAUAAGAAUACGUUCAUGUUCCCCCUUCCACCAAAGUUUGUUAGGAAAUUUUGCUACAAUAUAAGAAAUUGUAGGAGAAUUUAUCUUCGGCAGCCGAGUAAAUUCACCUAUUGCACCCUCUUUGAGGAAUUAAUGCCACGAACCAUAAGAUGACUUUUAAUUUGGUUCACUGCCCUCCCGAUUUUAUGUACCUACUGUCUGUUUGUAAACAUAGUAGAAAUAUCAAUGAUGAAAAUCAUUUCGAAUAGUUAAUAAAAGUAUCAUAGAAUUUUUGGAAGAUAUUUUUUUCUAUUCAAAUUCCUAUCAAGAAUAACGAGAAACACAGUACACACAGCGGGCCUACUUACUUGUAGAACGAUAUGUUUGUUUGACCGGGAAGCAAGUCUUUUUUAGGAAUCCAUCGAUUCUGGCAGCCGAAAACAGCACACGACACUACCAUUUCUUUUAUCAAAGUUCGAUUAUCAUUCAAUGUUAGCAACAGUGUAUUAGAUUAAUUAGAAAUUCAAGCGCGUAUACGGUGACAGGGGUAGGCAAUACUGUCCGCUGUGA
Long non-coding RNA from Rhopilema esculentum, 6448 nucleotides. RefSeq lists it as uncharacterized. The record is from RefSeq and is a predicted model, not a curated record. Lineage: Eukaryota; Metazoa; Cnidaria; Scyphozoa; Rhizostomeae; Rhizostomatidae.